RNAcentral lists this ribosomal RNA (253 nucleotides) under uncultured bacterium. RNAcentral's name for it is "partial 16S ribosomal RNA". It matches the Rfam family "Bacterial small subunit ribosomal RNA", at positions 524 to 776 of the family's 1533-position model. The record is from RNAcentral.
UACGUAGGGCGCAAGCGUUGUCCGGAAUUAUUGGGCGUAAAGAGCUCGUAGGCGGUUUGUCGCGUCUGCUGUGAAAACUCGAGGCUCAACCUCGGGCUUGCAGUGGGUACGGGCAGACUAGAGUGCGGUAGGGGUGACUGGAAUUCCUGGUGUAGCGGUGAAAUGCGCAGAUAUCAGGAGGAACACCGAUGGCGAAGGCAGGUCACUGGGCCGCAACUGACGCUGAGGAGCGAAAGCAUGGGGAGCGAACAGG